CCAUUACCACCCAAGCACCUUGCAUGGAGGGAGAAUGAGAUUGUCUGGUGCGUGUGUGUGUGCAUGUGUGUGUGUGUGUUGUCAUUGCCCACAGGCAUUUGUUAAGAGCAAACUGUGGGCCUAGAGCCCAAGCUGGCAGGCAGCACCUGACCUUGGCUGUUGGCUGCAUGACCUCAUCAGGUAGUUCUGCCUGGUUCUGCUCAAGAGGGUUUUGCCACCACAUCUCACUUGCAAAUAGUGUGUGUGUGUGUGUGUGUGUGAAAUAUCUUCUCAUCAAAACUACAUAAAAGCAUUCUCAAAAACAAUUCUGUGAUGAUUGCAUUCAGCUGACAGAGUUGAACAUUCCUUUUGAUAGAGCAGUUUGGAAACACUCUUUUUGUAGAAUCUGCAUGUGGAGAUUUGGACCGCUUGGAGACCUAUGGUAGUA
RNAcentral lists this long non-coding RNA (427 nucleotides) under Pan troglodytes (chimpanzee). RNAcentral's name for it is "long non-coding RNA NONPTRT005415". The record is from RNAcentral. Lineage: Eukaryota; Metazoa; Chordata; Mammalia; Primates; Hominidae.